AGCCAGCCCCCGGCAGGGCCAGCGCAGGGUUUCUGCGGGGCCGUCCUGUGGCUCUGAUAUCUAUGAGUGGGUGGCCAGCAAAGGCACAGGCACCAGCAGAAAGGAGCAGAGAUGCCCAGAACAUGCUGUCCCCCAAUGCCAGCCCCAAGCGAGGCCAGCUUAGGGUGCGGUGGGCAGAGCCAUCCUGCAGCUCUGAGAUCCACGAAGUGGAGGUGGGAGUAGCGCCAGGCUCCACGGCGUUGGAGCUCUCACAACUUGAGCUCAAUUUUAUUCCGGAGCCAUGACCUGCAGCACAUUGGUGACCAGAAGACGCCCAAAGCUUUGAAAAUGGACUUAUCGACCUCAAACCAAUGGGACAUAUUCCUACAUGGCCUUCUCCCCUGUUAGGGUUCCCAGGGUAUGUCUUUAAUGUCUGGUUUAAUAGAAGAAGACUUGGUUCUCCUUUCUGCUUCUAUGUUUAAUUUCUUGUGACAUCCCACGUCAGGUAGCUGGGAAACUCCAAUUAUACUUGUGAGAGAAUGAAAGUGGAAAAGCUGGGCAGAUGUGCCUGAGACAGGUUUGACCAGGCAACUGAAAAGAUAUCCCUAAGAGAAGACAAAGCAAAGGUAUGAAAGGAACACACGUCCCUGACUGACUAGGAGGAACAGAGCUGCCUGCUGUCUGGAACCGCUUCCUCCCAGACUAAGAGAGAAAUAAACUUCUGUUUUCUAUA
RNAcentral lists this long non-coding RNA (712 nucleotides) under Homo sapiens (human). Its description in RNAcentral is "family with sequence similarity 242 member A, transcript variant 3 (FAM242A)". The record is from RNAcentral. Lineage: Eukaryota; Metazoa; Chordata; Mammalia; Primates; Hominidae.